Molecule: ribosomal RNA, 253 nt
Filed under: uncultured bacterium
Lineage: Bacteria
Description: partial 16S ribosomal RNA
Rfam family: Bacterial small subunit ribosomal RNA
Source: RNAcentral
UACAGAGGAUGCAAGCGUUAUCCGGAAUGAUUGGGCGUAAAGCGUCCGUAGGUGGUUAGUCAAGUCUGUGGUUAAAGCGCGAAGCUCAACUUCGUAAAGGCCAUGGAAACUGACAGACUAGAGUUAAGUAGGGGUAGAGGGAAUUCCCAGUGUAGCGGUGAAAUGCGUAGAGAUUGGGAAGAACACCGGUGGCGAAAGCGCUCUACUGGACUUAUACUGACACUGAGGGACGAAAGCUAGGGGAGCGAAAGGG